UUAAGUUCAGCGGGUAUCCCUACCUGAUCCGAAGUCAAACCUAAAAUAGGGGGUUGCUGGCAGGCAUCCAUCGGGGUCCUAUAGCGAGGGUAUUUACUACGCUCAGGGCCCGGUGGCACCGCCACUGCUUUUGAGGCGCGCCCGGGGGCGUCGCCCAAGACCAGCCUGGCUGGAUUGGUUAUUAUGACGUUCGAACAGGC
This 200-nucleotide unclassified non-coding RNA is filed under the name Helotiaceae sp. RNAcentral's name for it is "partial internal transcribed spacer 2". Lineage: Eukaryota; Fungi; Ascomycota; Leotiomycetes; Helotiales; Helotiaceae. The record is from RNAcentral.